Molecule: long non-coding RNA, 500 nt
Filed under: Homo sapiens (human)
Lineage: Eukaryota; Metazoa; Chordata; Mammalia; Primates; Hominidae
Description: non-protein coding lnc-IQCM-2:8
Source: RNAcentral
AGAUUGUUUGCAGUUGGCAUAUAAACAUGCUACUGAUUUUCAAAACCUUUAAAACCCUUAUUAAAAAGGAGCGACAACCUAUCAAGCCAGAACCAAAAUCACAACCCAGGAUAAAAGGUACUCCAAAUAAAACUGAUAAACUUGACAGUAAAGUUAAAAGAAUUGGACCACACAUAGAAAUCUUCCAAGUGUUCCGAGAAAGAAAAAAAUUCAUGAUUACCCCAAAAUUGAUUAGAAUGGUCACCGUCAUGCAGGCACAUGUCAGGGGAUGGCUUGAACGGAAAAGAUUGCAAAGAGUAAUGACCAAGGCUUUGGAUCAUGGACCAGAUAUGAAAGCAGUUAUUAACAUGUAUGGCAGACUAAUCCACCGUGUUAGAUAUCGACGUGGUCUUUGGAGGACAAGACAAAUUCUCAACUUAGCAGAGCUAGAGGAGUGGAUGGACCGAAAAAAAUUCUAUGAAAUAAUGUUUGCUAAGAGGGAAGAUUGGCCAAAAAUUGAA